This 468-nucleotide ribosomal RNA is filed under the name uncultured bacterium. RNAcentral describes it as "partial 16S ribosomal RNA". It matches the Rfam family "Bacterial small subunit ribosomal RNA", at positions 28 to 507 of the family's 1533-position model. The record is from RNAcentral.
GACGAACGCUGGCGGCGUGCUUAACACAUGCAAGUCGAACGGAAAGGCCCUGCUUUUGUGGGGUGCUCGAGUGGCGAACGGGUGAGUAACACGUGAGUAACCUGCCCUUGACUUUGGGAUAACUUCAGGAAACUGGGGCUAAUACCGGAUAGGAGCUCCUGCUGCAUGGUGGGGGUUGGAAAGUUUCGGCGGUUGGGGAUGGACUCGCGGCUUAUCAGCUUGUUGGUGGGGUAGUGGCUUACCAAGGCUUUGACGGGUAGCCGGCCUGAGAGGUUGACCGGCCACAUGGGGACUGAGAUACGGAGCAGACUCCUACGGGAGGCAGCAGUGGGGAAUAUUGCACAAUGGGCGGAAGCCUGAUGCAGCAACGCCGCGUGCGGGAUGACGGCCUUCGGGGUGUAAACCGCUUUCGCCUGUGACGAAGCGUGAGUGACGGUAAUGGGUAAAGAAGCACCGGCUAACUACGUG